Molecule: non-coding RNA, 564 nt
Organism: Propithecus coquereli (Coquerel's sifaka)
Lineage: Eukaryota; Metazoa; Chordata; Mammalia; Primates; Indriidae
Source: the annotation of a RefSeq genome assembly
AUGGUCUCCAGGCUCUUCUGCUGUGUGGCCCUUUGUCUCCUGGGAACAGGCCCAGUGGACUCUGGAGUCACGCAAACCCCAAAACACCUGAUCAAAGCAAGGGGACAGCAAGUGACACUGCAAUGCUUUCCUAUGUCUGAACACCUCUCUGUGUCCUGGUACCAACAGCACCUGGACCAGGGUCCCCAGUUCCUCAUCCAGUAUUAUAACGGGGAACAGAGGGAAAAAGGAAACAUCCCUGCUCGAUUCUCAGGACAGCAGUUUCGUGACUAUCACUCUGAAAUGAACCUGAGCUCCUUGGAGCUGGGGGACUCGGCCCUGUUCCUCUGUGCCAGCAGCUUAGCACAGCCCUGCCUGAUCUUCAGCCUUCUGUACAAAAACACCCCUGCCCCCGCUCAGGAAGUGACCCUGAGGGCGGGUGCAGCCAGCCAGAGGGCUCCCUGGGGCCCUGGCUACAAUGUCUCUAGAUCAGACAUGGAGGAUUUCCCCCUCACGCUGGAGUCAGCUACCCCCUCCCAGACAUCUGUGUACUUCUGCGCCAGCUCCUCUCGGUUAGGAGGAACU